GACGAACGCUGGCGGCGUGCCUAAUACAUGCAAGUAGAACGCUGAAGGAGGAGCUUGCUUCUCUGGAUGAGUUGCGAACGGGUGAGUAACGCGUAGGUAACCUGCCUGGUAGCGGGGGAUAACUAUUGGAAACGAUAGCUAAUACCGCAUAAUAGUAGAUGUUGCAUGACAUUUGCUUAAAAGGUGCAAUUGCAUCACUACCAGAUGGACCUGCGUUGUAUUAGCUAGUUGGUGGGGUAACGGCUCACCAAGGCGACGAUACAUAGCCGACCUGAGAGGGUGAUCGGCCACACUGGGACUGAGACACGGCCCAGACUCCUACGGGAGGCAGCAGUAGGGAAUCUUCGGCAAUGGACGGAAGUCUGACCGAGCAAGGCCGCGGGAGUGAAGAAGGUUUUCGGAUCGUAAAGCUCUGUUGUAAGAGAAGAACGAGUGUGAGAGUGGAAAGUUCACACUGUGACGGUAUCUUACCAGAAAGGGACGGCUAACUACGUG
Molecule: ribosomal RNA, 495 nt
Filed under: uncultured bacterium
Lineage: Bacteria
Description: partial 16S ribosomal RNA
Rfam family: Bacterial small subunit ribosomal RNA
Source: RNAcentral